GUGAAUCAUCAAAUUUUUGAACGCAAAUUGCACUCUCUUCGGAGAGUAGGUCUGUUUGAGUGUGAGCCUAAAAAAAAUCGACGUGGUCGGUGUUUCGCGGUGACAGUCGUCGGAAAUCGGGCCAUCAGAAACCUUUGGGGGUUUUAAGCGGCUUAAAAUUUUCUUUGCGAUCCCACGAACGUUUCUAAGAUUGUACUUUUU
This 201-nucleotide unclassified non-coding RNA is filed under the name Glomus sp. RNAcentral describes it as "partial contains 5.8S ribosomal RNA and internal transcribed spacer 2". The stretch from base 1 to 65 matches the Rfam family "5.8S ribosomal RNA", at positions 84 to 154 of the family's 154-position model. The record is from RNAcentral. Lineage: Eukaryota; Fungi; Glomeromycota; Glomeromycetes; Glomerales; Glomeraceae.